CCUACGGGUGGCAGCAGUUAGGAAUAUUGGUCAAUGGGCGGGAGCCUGAACCAGCCAAGUCGCGUGAAGGAAGCAGGUACUUAGUAUUGUAAACUUCUUUUGUCGGGGAACAAAGGCGGAGACGCGUCUCCGGAUUAGUGUACCCGAAGAAAAAGCAUCUGCUAACUCCGUGCCAGCAGCCGCGGUAAUACGGAGGAUGCGAGCGUUAUCCGGAUUUAGUGGGUUUAAAGGGUUCGCAGUCUGGAGAUAACGUAAGCGGUAAAAUGUCUGGGCUCAACCCCGGACGGCAGUUGAUACUGGUUGUCUAGAGUUGGAGAGAGGUAUGCGGAAUUCGUGGUGUAGCGGUGAAAUGCAUAGAUAUCACGAAGAACUCCGAUUGCGAAGGCAGCAUACCGGCUCCAUACUGACGCUGAGGCACGAAAGCGUGGGGAUCGAACAGGAUUAGAUACCCCAGUAGUC
This 459-nucleotide ribosomal RNA is filed under the name uncultured bacterium. RNAcentral describes it as "partial 16S ribosomal RNA". It matches the Rfam family "Bacterial small subunit ribosomal RNA", at positions 338 to 795 of the family's 1533-position model. The record is from RNAcentral.